AAAGUCGUAACAAGGUUUUCGUAGGUGAACCUGCGGAAGGAUCAUUAAUGAAUUGCUUUGGGAGUCCCUCUUUACCAGAGAAGGCCCAAUCCUUUACAUUUACCCACCCACACUUGUGCAUUUGUCCCCUUUUAAUUACCUUUUUAACCCUUGUGCAUUUGAAACGGUUGACGUAGAAAUCAAAUGAUAAAGAAAGUAAAAACUUUCAGCAAUGGAUCUCUUGGCUCUC
Molecule: unclassified non-coding RNA, 229 nt
Filed under: Basidiomycota sp.
Lineage: Eukaryota; Fungi; Basidiomycota
Description: partial contains small subunit ribosomal RNA, internal transcribed spacer 1, and 5.8S ribosomal RNA
Rfam family: Eukaryotic small subunit ribosomal RNA (bases 1-47)
Source: RNAcentral